RNAcentral lists this ribosomal RNA (806 nucleotides) under uncultured bacterium. RNAcentral describes it as "bacterial SSU rRNA". It matches the Rfam family "Bacterial small subunit ribosomal RNA", at positions 8 to 796 of the family's 1533-position model. The record is from RNAcentral.
AGAGUUUGAUCCUGGCUCAGGAUGAACGCUGGCGGCGUGCCUAAUACAUGCAAGUCGAGCAAACAGAUAAGGAGCUUGCUCCUUUGACGUUAGCGGCGGACGGGUGAGUAACACGUGGGUAACCUACCUAUAAGACUGGAAUAACUCCGGGAAACCGGGGCUAAUGCCGGAUAACAUGUUGAACCGCAUGGUUCUACAGUGAAAGACGGUCUUGCUGUCACUUAUAGAUGGACCCGCGCCGUAUUAGCUAGUUGGUGGGGUAACGGCCUACCAAGGCGACGAUACGUAGCCGACCUGAGAGGGUGAUCGGCCACACUGGAACUGAGACACGGUCCAGACUCCUACGGGAGGCAGCAGUAGGGAAUCUUCCGCAAUGGGCGAAAGCCUGACGGAGCAACGCCGCGUGAGUGAUGAAGGUCUUCGGAUCGUAAAGCUCUGUUGUUAGGGAAGAACAAAUGUGUAAGUAACUGUGCACAUCUUGACGGUACCUAACCAGAAAGCCACGGCUAACUACGUGCCAGCAGCCGCGGUAAUACGUAGGUGGCAAGCGUUAUCCGGAAUUAUUGGGCGUAAAGCGCGCGUAGGCGGUUUUUUAAGUCUGAUGUGAAAGCCCACGGCUCAACCGUGGAGGGUCAUUGGAAACUGGAAAACUUGAGUGCAGAAGAGGAAAGUGGAAUUCCAUGUGUAGCGGUGAAAUGCGCAGAGAUAUGGAGGAACACCAGUGGCGAAGGCGGCUUUCUGGUCUGCAACUGACGCUGAUGUGCGAAAGCGUGGGGAUCAAACAGGAUUAGAUACCCUAGUAGUCC